AAUUUUCUUUGAGCCGGUGCAAGGUGAGGGCGGCUACGUCGUACCGCCGCAAAAGUUCGUCGACGAAUUGCAGGAGCUAGCGCGGCGACACCGCAUUCUACUGGUGUUCGAUGAGGUGCAGUCGGGGAUGGGUCGGACCGGGAAGAUGUUCGCAGCGGAACACUUUGAAGCAGCCCCGGACAUUAUCGCGGUAGCGAAAGGCAUCGCCAGCGGCAUGCCUCUUUCUGCCACCAUUGCACGUGCUGAUGUAAUGCAGUGGCGUCCAGGAGCACAUGCGUCCACAUUCGGAGGCAACCCGGUAUGCAUCGCGGCUGCGCUGGCGACUAUAGAAUUGCUCGAGCAGGAACUGAUCGACAACGCCGCGCACAUGGGGCG
RNAcentral lists this unclassified non-coding RNA (375 nucleotides) under uncultured fungus. RNAcentral describes it as "sequence contains ITS1". The record is from RNAcentral. Lineage: Eukaryota; Fungi.